CUGCAGAGAUGUAGGCCCCCUUGUGGUCGGUGUACAGGUGGUGCAUGGCUGUCGUCAGCUCGUGUCGUGAGAUGUUGGGUUAAGUCCCGCAACGAGCGCAACCCUUAUCUUAUGUUGCCAGCGCGUAAUGGCGGGGACUCGUGAGAGACUGCCGGGGUCAACUCGGAGGAAGGUGGGGACGACGUCAAGUCAUCAUGCCCCUUAUGUCCAGGGCUUCACACAUGCUACAAUGGCCGGUACAGAGGGCUGCGAUAC
Molecule: ribosomal RNA, 255 nt
Filed under: Nocardia cyriacigeorgica
Lineage: Bacteria; Bacillati; Actinomycetota; Actinomycetes; Mycobacteriales; Nocardiaceae
Description: partial 16S ribosomal RNA
Rfam family: Bacterial small subunit ribosomal RNA
Source: RNAcentral